AGCGUGGGAGCCGAGGCCACGUUCCCGCAGCUGUGAGGGCAGCUCGCUUGUAGCAGCCCUGGGAGCACGUGGUAGGGAAGGGGAGCCAGGGCCAGCACUGACAAGGGAGAAUCGCGGCGCCAAGGUCCCUUUGCGCACAGCCCAAAUUCGAAGGACGCGUUUCCCUGGGAACGUCCCUGGAGGACGGGGAAUCUGUAUGCCAUUACCAGCCAUUGAACCACCCCUGCUCUCGGUGCCUGUUUCCAGCAGGCUCACCCCAGAAACACAAGGUGCUUAAGACGGGUUCGCGGCGCAUGGGGCUGCCGACCACCUGACGGCGGGCACCAGCUCCGCAGAUGCGCAUUCAUCCAACUGCAGGCGCUGCACUCAAAGGCGUGUAGGCCCUGAGCCUGUAUAACUUCCUCUGGACCCACGCAAUUCCCUUGGAGAGCGCCAGGCACGACCCUGCUGUGGCUUCUAACUACAAGGCUUCCCUCAGGUGGACAGGCCCACCCCUCAGGGAGACUAGGAUAAGAGGACACCACACACCCGGACAUCAGCGGAGCAUGUCCAGCACCCAGCACACAAAGGCCUCCUGCAUCUCAGAAACUCAGAGAAGCAGCCGCCUCACACCACCCCCGGUCCCUCCCGUCCCUCAGCUGCAACCACCUGCCCACUUUUUCUGCCUCCCGUCUCUGGUCAGCCCAGGCCGUCUUGGCCGGGGUCCACCCACUCCAAAAACCACCACAGUUGUGGCGUUGCCUCCUCGCCAGACAGAGAUAGAGGGCCAACAAUGAAGGGUGACUGGCCAAAUGUCUGGGAGAUGGCCCUGUUCCACAUUGUCUGUGUUCUUGCGAAAUUGCAAGGCGUCACGAGGCUUGCCCACCCAAUCCUCUGGAGAGUUCUUGCGCAGAGGUAGAUUGUUUGGCACACGAGAUGUCGGCGUGGGUCGGAAAGCAUGCGGAAGUCCUGCUUUGCUACGUGAUGGAUUUGCAGGUCAGGCUGGGGAGCCUGGGUCUGUGGGAGGAGUCCAGUGUCUGAGUCAGUUUGAGGUCCCCCUGGGGACCAGGGUUGUCUCAGUGGGAGAGCUGGGAAGGGGAAACUCAUGGUUCACUACAGCUAGUAGGCCACCUCAGCCCAGCUAGUUGAGAUGGUCCCAUUGAAUCCAUCCUCUUUCUCCUUGAUCCGGCAGGUGGAGGAACUCAGCCAUCCCGGUUACCGGUGGCAGGAUGAUUUCCUUUCAUCCCAACCUUUAUUUCCACAGUGAAAUCAUCAUGAAGGAGCACUGUGUUGGCAUCCUCGGCUACAGGGUGUCUCAUUCCACUGCAGUCCAGCGGUUCUGGGAUCACGAAGGUCAAGCCUCCAGCUGCAGGCAGUACACCUCCUACCUGAGCUCAUUCAGCUGUUUGGCUGAACAUGACUGCCCGGGUUUUGGCAGGAUUGCUGAGAUAUGGGAGUUAGCCUGUGAGCAUGUUUUCGAAUACGGA
Molecule: long non-coding RNA, 1466 nt
Organism: Homo sapiens (human)
Lineage: Eukaryota; Metazoa; Chordata; Mammalia; Primates; Hominidae
Exons: 3
Source: RefSeq, a predicted model, not a curated record